CGGGUGAGUAACGCGUGAGGAACCUGCCUCAAAGAGGGGACAACAGUUGGAAACGACUGCUAAUACCGCAUAAGCCCACAGCUCGGCAUCGAGCAGAGGGAAAAGGAGUGAUCCGCUUUGAGAUGGCCUCGCGUCCGAUUAGCUAGUUGGUGAGGUAACGGCCCACCAAGGCGACGAUCGGUAGCCGGACUGGGAGGUUGAACGGCCACAUUGGGACUGAGACACGGCCCAG
This 232-nucleotide ribosomal RNA is filed under the name uncultured bacterium. RNAcentral's name for it is "partial 16S ribosomal RNA". It matches the Rfam family "Bacterial small subunit ribosomal RNA", at positions 103 to 334 of the family's 1533-position model. The record is from RNAcentral.